This 317-nucleotide unclassified non-coding RNA is filed under the name soil metagenome. Its description in RNAcentral is "partial contains small subunit ribosomal RNA, internal transcribed spacer 1, and 5.8S ribosomal RNA". The record is from RNAcentral.
UUUCCGUAGGUGAACCUGCGGAAGGAUCAUUGUCGAAUCCUGCACGGCAGAACGACCUGUGAACAUGUAAAACAAUCGGCUUCACCGGGACUAAAGUUUUGCUUUGGUCCUCGUGAAGCAUUGUUGACGUGUGUUCAUGUUCGUCCCAUUUGGGCGUCAUGGAUAUCAAGUUGACACAACAACCCCCGGCACGACAUGUGCCAAGGAGAACUAAACUUAAAGAGCUUGUGUUAUGACGCCCCGCUUUCGGUGUGCGCAUUGCACAUGGCUUCUUUGUAAACUCAAAACGACUCUCGGCAACGGAUAUCUCGGCUCAC